This 71-nucleotide transfer RNA is filed under the name Fukomys damarensis (Damara mole-rat). It matches the Rfam family "tRNA". From Rfam's summary of the family: Transfer RNA (tRNA) molecules are approximately 80 nucleotides in length. Their secondary structure includes four short double-helical elements and three loops (D, anti-codon, and T loops). Further hydrogen bonds mediate the characteristic L-shaped molecular structure. tRNAs have two regions of fundamental functional importance: the anti-codon, which is responsible for specific mRNA codon recognition, and the 3' end, to which the tRNAs corresponding amino acid is attached (by aminoacyl-tRNA synthetases). tRNAs cope with the degeneracy of the genetic code in two manners: having more than one tRNA (with a specific anti-codon) for a particular amino acid; and 'wobble' base-pairing, i.e. permitting non-standard base-pairing at the 3rd anti-codon position. The record is from Rfam by way of RNAcentral. Lineage: Eukaryota; Metazoa; Chordata; Mammalia; Rodentia; Bathyergidae.
GGUGGUGCAGCUCAGUGGCAGAGCACUUGCUCAGCAAGCAACAGGCCUGGGUUCCAUCCCUAGCAAUACAA